Molecule: long non-coding RNA, 1920 nt
Filed under: Schizosaccharomyces pombe (fission yeast)
Lineage: Eukaryota; Fungi; Ascomycota; Schizosaccharomycetes; Schizosaccharomycetales; Schizosaccharomycetaceae
Source: RNAcentral
CAAAUCAAUCGAUAAAGGAUUUGCAGCGUAGAAUACAAGAUUGAUAACGUACUCUAACAAAACCUAACAGAAUACAAACAAAAUACUCGGAUCGUGGCUGGAAUGAAAGGAUCUGCUUUCUUUAUAUAAAGCCUUGGACUGUUUUUUUGACUGUCAUUCUAAUGAUGUGCGAAUCGACGUACAAGGGAUAGCAACGACAGGUAACAUGGUAAUUUUGCACAGGAAAAUUUGUACAGAUCACCACGUAUAUCACUUGAAAGUCGGGAUAACCAAGGUUUAAGGAUCGACGCUUGAAAAUAGGUAAGUAAAUAAGCACCUCGAACCACCACACUAGAUAGCAAACUGAAUAAAAAGAAAACGACCCCAAGUGAAAGAAAAUUCUUACAAACAUUCAAAUUAAAAAGAGAAAUUUGAAGGAUAGAACGAAGCAAUGAAUUAAGAUUCGUUGAAAUUCUAUACUCUCAACACACACAAGUCGCAUGUCCUUUUUGCAUGACAACACAUCACUUGACUAAAUUGUAGACAGCAUCUACUAAAAAUAGGUAAAUUUUAUUUGCAGAUUGACGUCGAUCUGUCACAACCAUCUUAUUAUUAUUUCAGAAAAAAAAAAAGGACCAGUCGAUGGUAGUAUCGUAACUGGUGCCAAAAGGGGAUCGCCACAUGGAACAAUCCAUGAUCUUUUUUUUUUGCACUAUCAGAGGACGGAGUGUUUUAAUACACUGCUUGAAUACAGUUUAGUGUCAACUACAGUAAGACAUUCAAUUUUGACGAAUAAUUAAAAUAUUUUAUAUUGAUUUUAAAAAGUAUUUGAUAAUGAGCCCACCACUUUGGGAACAAAUAUGAAAAUCAACUUAGGAGAUUCAAGUCUAGAGCAAUAAAUCACGGGGAAAGUGUCAUGACGAUCGAACGCUUAUCAGAAAAUCCGAUAAUCAUUUCUUUUUCCAACUUGAAGCAACUUAAAAAGAACUUGAAAGAAAAGCGUUACGUUCAUAAUGAGCUUGCACAAAAAGAUUUACACAUACCACAUACCUUAGAAACACUGAGAAUGAGAAAUUUUUAAAGAAGUUCCUCUAAUGCAUUUUGCGCUCGGAUUCGAUGGUUUUCGGAAUUUUAAAUUUUGCCGAGUUGCGCAAACCUGGUGUAAAUUGAAAAGGUAACCCUCGUACACAGGAGCUUCGUCGCACAUUACUUCAAAUAGACAAUUGUUAAAAAAUUGAAUUUUUUUUACAUGUCACUCUGUUUUAUUAUUGGGAAUAGAGUAAAUCUAGAAAUUGUAUGUGCUGAUGUCUAAUCACAAUCUUGUUUGAGGCGGUAACUUAUAUGCUUUUUGUUAAGUGCUUUAGAGAAAGGACUCCAGGGUAGGAAUCUUGGAAAAGCAGAAUUUUUUUCUUUUUUUGAAACAAAAGAUAAAGAAUUUUGAGUCGCAUUGGUAUGUACUGCCAGUUUUAUCUCAAUAUUUUUUGUAUAGCUUUGUAUGCAAGUUUUUCGCGGUACUAUAUAAUUGUCGCUCUAUCAGAUCGAAAUACUAAGCUGAAAUUGAUUUGCAAAGCUAUAAUAAUAUGAACAAGGGAAAAAAGAAGAGAGAAGGAAGCGAAAGCAAUAUUGAGCUUCUCUAGUUAUCAUCUUCUAUAAACCAAAUCUGCAUUGUUUGUCCUGAACCUUUCUCUCGUUGUCCGUCAGCCAACAUCUCUAGAUUAUUUAUCGUUCCAUGGAUCGACAUGUUCUGAUUUAUCGAUCGCUGUUUUCGACGAAGAUCCUAAUAAAAUUUCACUGCUUCUCCAAGAAUAUCCAUAUAACAAAAAAAAAAACGUAACAAUUAUAAUUUUUUUUAUUUAAGAUGCAAUAUUUCUUUAUUAAUUCAUUAUAUUUUUUAUUAUUAAUUAUUUAUUUAUUUAAAUAUUUAUUGAUUUAUUGACCUCC